AGCAUCGGCCGGGAAUCGAACCCGCCCACGUGGCAAGCGAGCAUUGUACCACUGAACCACCGAUGC
Molecule: non-coding RNA, 66 nt
Organism: Cordylochernes scorpioides
Lineage: Eukaryota; Metazoa; Arthropoda; Arachnida; Pseudoscorpiones; Chernetidae
Source: the annotation of a GenBank genome assembly